UUCACAAGCCACAUGGCCGCAAUGCGGACAUUGUUAAAGAUCUGGUCGGCACUGAUUUUAGUCAAGUAUCAGUGCGGGCCAGAUUCUGCUUGACAUGCUUGCGAGCUUUUUCAUCAGCCCACUACUUCGAGCAUGCCCUUCAUCCUCAUGGUGGGAAUGCAGAAGAAGCAGGCGUAGCCCCCAACCCCGCUCCCGUUCUGGUCGAGAUCGUGGAGCGUGAAUGGUGGAAUCUUGUCGCGGAGGACGUCAUCCGUGGCCCGCUACGCUUUCAGCAAAUCAAAGAGUUUAGUUCUCAACGGUGUGCACAUGGUAGCAGUCCACAACCGCCAACCGCCAGAUGUGCACGGCAUCCACCACUGCGCGAAUGGUUUCUGCAAUAAGUCUGUAGAGCAGCCAAGUCUGCGGGCUGGAAUGCUGGUUCAAGUUCAACAUGCAGUUUCCUUCGGGGCAAGAAGAGGAACAGGAAGUGGAAGAGGCAGAGGAUGAGUAGAAGAUUCCACGGAAGUCUGAAGUCCGGAGUCAAGGCUUGGAAUCCUUUUGUCCAUGUCUGAUGUUCUACUGGGCACAUUUUAUGACGCCUAUUCUUUACAAGUUCUGUUUAUUUUCAGAAGGGUAAAUGCUUCAUCGACAUAAUAAAGAGCAUAUUUUGAAGAUAAAAUUUUAAUUGGAAAAACUGGAUGAGACUAUACAAA
Molecule: long non-coding RNA, 692 nt
Organism: Panicum virgatum (switchgrass)
Lineage: Eukaryota; Viridiplantae; Streptophyta; Magnoliopsida; Poales; Poaceae
Exons: 2
Source: RefSeq, a predicted model, not a curated record